RNAcentral lists this ribosomal RNA (712 nucleotides) under uncultured bacterium. Its description in RNAcentral is "bacterial SSU rRNA". It matches the Rfam family "Bacterial small subunit ribosomal RNA", at positions 104 to 832 of the family's 1533-position model. The record is from RNAcentral.
GGGUGAGUAACGCGUGAGGAACCUGCCUCAAAGAGGGGGACAACAGUUGGAAACGACUGCUAAUACCGCAUAAGCCCACGGCUCGGCAUCGAGCAGAGGGAAAAGGAGUGAUCCGCUUUGAGAUGGCCUCGCGUCCGAUUAGCUAGUUGGUGAGGUAACGGCCCACCAAGGCGACGAUCGGUAGCCGGACUGAGAGGUUGAACGGCCACAUUGGGACUGAGACACGGCCCAGACUCCUACGGGAGGCAGCAGUGGGGAAUAUUGCACAAUGGGGGAAACCCUGAUGCAGCGACGCCGCGUGGAGGAAGAAGGUCUUCGGAUUGUAAACUCCUGUUGUUGAGGAAGAUAAUGACGGUACUCAACAAGGAAGUGACGGCUAACUACGUGCCAGCAGCCGCGGUAAAACGUAGGUCACAAGCGUUGUCCGGAAUUACUGGGUGUAAAGGGAGCGCAGGCGGGAGAACAAGUUGGAAGUGAAAUCCAUGGGCUCAACCCAUGAACUGCUUUCAAAACUGUUUUUCUUGAGUAGUGCAGAGGUAGGCGGAAUUCCCGGUGUAGCGGUGGAAUGCGUAGAUAUCGGGAGGAACACCAGUGGCGAAGGCGGCCUACUGGGCACCAACUGACGCUGAGGCUCGAAAGUGUGGGUAGCAAACAGGAUUAGAUACCCUGGUAGUCCACACCGUAAACGAUGAUUACUAGGUGUUGGAGGAUU